AAGAGUAUGUCCUGCCCGGUGAAUUACGGUUUUAACGGCCGCGGUAUCCUGACCGUGCAAAGGUAGCAUAAUCAUUUGCCUUUUAAUUGGAGGCUUGUAUGAAUGGAUUAACGAGGGGCUGAUUGUCUCACUUACAAAUAUAUAAAUUAGUAUUUAGGUGAAGAAACCUAGAUUAAACUAAAAGACAAGAAGACCCUAUCGAGUUUUAUUCACCCAAUUAUAUUUUAAAAGUUUGGAAUAUUUUAAAAGGAAAAAGGAGAAUUUGGUUGGGGCGACUGGGGAAUAAUAAAAACUUCCCCGCAAAAAAGAAUUUAUUCAAUUAAAGAUCCAACAAGAAGUGAUUAGAAGAAAAACACUACCGUAGGGAUAACAGGCUGAUUUCUUUAGAGAGUUCUAUAUUGAACAAGGAAGAAU
RNAcentral lists this ribosomal RNA (414 nucleotides) under Neogyptis mediterranea. RNAcentral's name for it is "partial 16S ribosomal RNA". It matches the Rfam family "Bacterial large subunit ribosomal RNA", at positions 1848 to 2519 of the family's 2925-position model. The record is from RNAcentral. Lineage: Eukaryota; Metazoa; Annelida; Polychaeta; Phyllodocida; Hesionidae.